UAUUGCACAAUGGGGGAAACCCUGAUGCAGCAACGCCGCGUGAGUGAAGAAGGUUUUCGGAUUGUAAACUAUUGUCCACAGGGAAGAUAAAAGACUGUACCUGUGAAGAAAGCUCCGGCUAACUACGUGCCAGCAGCCGCGGUAAUACGUAGGGAGCAAGCGUUAUCCGGAAUUAUUGGGUGUAAGGGGUGCGUAGACGGGAUAACAAGUUGGUUGUGAAACCCCUCGGCUCAACUGAGGAACUGCAACCAAAACUAUUAUUCUUGAGUGCAGGAGAGGAAAGUGGAAUUCCUAGUGUAGCGGUGAAAUGCGUAGAUAUUAGGAAGAACACCGGUGGCGAAGGCGACUUUCUGGACUGUAACUGACGUUGAGGCACGAAAGUGUGGGGAGCAAACAGG
Molecule: ribosomal RNA, 398 nt
Filed under: uncultured bacterium
Lineage: Bacteria
Description: bacterial SSU rRNA
Rfam family: Bacterial small subunit ribosomal RNA
Source: RNAcentral